Molecule: ribosomal RNA, 1550 nt
Filed under: Escherichia coli
Lineage: Bacteria; Pseudomonadati; Pseudomonadota; Gammaproteobacteria; Enterobacterales; Enterobacteriaceae
Description: partial 23S ribosomal RNA
Rfam family: Bacterial large subunit ribosomal RNA
Source: RNAcentral
AGUCGAUGGGAAACAGGUUAAUAUUCCUGUACUUGGUGUUACUGCGAAGGGGGGACGGAGAAGGCUAUGUUGGCCGGGCGACGGUUGUCCCGGUUUAAGCGUGUAGGCUGGUUUUCCAGGCAAAUCCGGAAAAUCAAGGCUGAGGCGUGAUGACGAGGCACUACGGUGCUGAAGCAACAAAUGCCCUGCUUCCAGGAAAAGCCUCUAAGCAUCAGGUAACAUCAAAUCGUACCCCAAACCGACACAGGUGGUCAGGUAGAGAAUACCAAGGCGCUUGAGAGAACUCGGGUGAAGGAACUAGGCAAAAUGGUGCCGUAACUUCGGGAGAAGGCACGCUGAUAUGUAGGUGAAGUCCCUCGCGGAUGGAGCUGAAAUCAGUCGAAGAUACCAGCUGGCUGCAACUGUUUAUUAAAAACACAGCACUGUGCAAACACGAAAGUGGACGUAUACGGUGUGACGCCUGCCCGGUGCCGGAAGGUUAAUUGAUGGGGUCAGCGCAAGCGAAGCUCUUGAUCGAAGCCCCGGUAAACGGCGGCCGUAACUAUAACGGUCCUAAGGUAGCGAAAUUCCUUGUCGGGUAAGUUCCGACCUGCACGAAUGGCGUAAUGAUGGCCAGGCUGUCUCCACCCGAGACUCAGUGAAAUUGAACUCGCUGUGAAGAUGCAGUGUACCCGCGGCAAGACGGAAAGACCCCGUGAACCUUUACUAUAGCUUGACACUGAACAUUGAGCCUUGAUGUGUAGGAUAGGUGGGAGGCUUUGAAGUGUGGACGCCAGUCUGCAUGGAGCCGACCUUGAAAUACCACCCUUUAAUGUUUGAUGUUCUAACGUGGACCCGUGAUCCGGGUUGCGGACAGUGUCUGGUGGGUAGUUUGACUGGGGCGGUCUCCUCCUAAAGAGUAACGGAGGAGCACGAAGGUUGGCUAAUCCUGGUCGGACAUCAGGAGGUUAGUGCAAUGGCAUAAGCCAGCUUGACUGCGAGCGUGACGGCGCGAGCAGGUGCGAAAGCAGGUCAUAGUGAUCCGGUGGUUCUGAAUGGAAGGGCCAUCGCUCAACGGAUAAAAGGUACUCCGGGGAUAACAGGCUGAUACCGCCCAAGAGUUCAUAUCGACGGCGGUGUUUGGCACCUCGAUGUCGGCUCAUCACAUCCUGGGGCUGAAGUAGGUCCCAAGGGUAUGGCUGUUCGCCAUUUAAAGUGGUACGCGAGCUGGGUUUAGAACGUCGUGAGACAGUUCGGUCCCUAUCUGCCGUGGGCGCUGGAGAACUGAGGGGGGCUGCUCCUAGUACGAGAGGACCGGAGUGGACGCAUCACUGGUGUUCGGGUUGUCAUGCCAAUGGCACUGCCCGGUAGCUAAAUGCGGAAGAGAUAAGUGCUGAAAGCAUCUAAGCACGAAACUUGCCCCGAGAUGAGUUCUCCCUGACCCUUUAAGGGUCCUGAAGGAACGUUGAAGACGACGACGUUGAUAGGCCGGGUGUGUAAGCGCAGCGAUGCGUUGAGCUAACCGGUACUAAUGAACCGUGAGGCUUAACCUUACAACGCCGAAGGUGUUU